CCAAGUGCGAGGGCAUAUAGUCCUCGCUUUUCUCGACUGUAAGGCGGUCGAGGAAUAAGAGCUGGGCAAGACCGGUGCCAGCCGCCGCGGUAAUACCGGCAGCUCAAGUGAUGACCGAUAUUAUUGGGCCUAAAGCGUCCGUAGCCGGCCACGAAGGUUCAUCGGGAAAUCCGCCAGCUCAACUGGCGGGCGUCCGGUGAAAACCACAUGGCUUGGGACCGGAAGGCUCGAGGGGUACGUCCGGGGUAGGAGUGAAAUCCCGUAAUCCUGGACGGACCACCGAUGGCGAAAGCACCUCGAGAAGACGGAUCCGACGGUGAGGGACGAAAGCUAGGGUCUCGAACCGGAUUAGAUACCCGGGUAGUCCUAGCUGUAAACGAUGCUCGCUAGGUGUGACACAGGCUACGAGCCUGUGUUGUGCCGUAGGGAAGCCGAGAAGCGAGCCGCCUGGGAAGUACGUCCGCAAGGAUGAAACUUAAAGGAAUUGGCGGGG
This 493-nucleotide ribosomal RNA is filed under the name Haloferax volcanii. RNAcentral's name for it is "bacterial SSU rRNA". It matches the Rfam family "Archaeal small subunit ribosomal RNA", at positions 381 to 873 of the family's 1478-position model. Lineage: Archaea; Methanobacteriati; Methanobacteriota; Halobacteria; Halobacteriales; Haloferacaceae. The record is from RNAcentral.